This 216-nucleotide ribosomal RNA is filed under the name uncultured bacterium. RNAcentral describes it as "partial 16S ribosomal RNA". It matches the Rfam family "Bacterial small subunit ribosomal RNA", at positions 1285 to 1500 of the family's 1533-position model. The record is from RNAcentral.
GUCCCAGUUCGGAUUGUAGUCUGCAACCCGACUACAUGAAGCUGGAAUCGCUAGUAAUCGCAGGUCAGCAUACUGCGGUGAAUACGUUCCCGGGUCUUGUACACACCGCCCGUCACACCAUGGGAGCCGGAAAUGCCCGAAGCCAGUGACCCAACCUUAGGGAGGGAGCUGUCGAAGGUGGAGCCGGUAACUGGGGUGAAGUCGUAACAAGGUAGC